This 376-nucleotide ribosomal RNA is filed under the name uncultured bacterium. Its description in RNAcentral is "bacterial SSU rRNA". It matches the Rfam family "Bacterial small subunit ribosomal RNA", at positions 523 to 898 of the family's 1533-position model. The record is from RNAcentral.
AUACGGAGGGUGCGAGCGUUAAUCGGAAUUACUGGGCGUAAAGCGCGCGUAGGCGGCCUGAUAAGCCGGUUGUGAAAGCCCCGGGCUCAACCUGGGAACGGCAUCCGGAACUGUCAGGCUAGAGUGCAGGAGAGGAAGGUAGAAUUCCCGGUGUAGCGGUGAAAUGCGUAGAGAUCGGGAGGAAUACCAGUGGCGAAGGCGGCCUUCUGGACUGACACUGACGCUGAGGUGCGAAAGCGUGGGUAGCAAACAGGAUUAGAUACCCUGGUAGUCCACGCCGUAAACGAUGUCGACUAGCCGUUGGGGUCCUUGAGACCUUUGUGGCGCAGUUAACGCGAUAAGUCGACCGCCUGGGGAGUACGGCCGCAAGGUUAAA